GGGGAAUAUUGGACAAUGGGCGAAAGCCUGAUCCAGCCAUGCCGCGUGUGUGAAGAAGGUCUUCGGAUUGUAAAGCACUUUAAGUUGGGAGGAAGGGCUGCAAGUUAAUACCUUGUAGUUUUGACGUUACCAACAGAAUAAGCACCGGCUAACUUCGUGCCAGCAGCCGCGGUGAUACGUAGGGUGCGAGCGUUAAUCGGAAUUACUGGGCGUAAAGCGUGCGCAGGCGGUUUCGUAAGACAGACGUGAAAUCCCCGGGCUCAACCUGGGAACUGCGUUUGGGACUGCCUGACUAGAGUACGGUAGAGGGUGGUGGAAUUUCCUGUGUAGCGGUGAAAUGCGUAGAUAUAGGAAGGAACACCAGUGGCGAAGGCGACCACCUGGACUGAUACUGACACUGAGGUGCGAAAGCGUGGGGAGCAAACA
This 426-nucleotide ribosomal RNA is filed under the name uncultured Pseudomonadaceae bacterium. RNAcentral's name for it is "bacterial SSU rRNA". It matches the Rfam family "Bacterial small subunit ribosomal RNA", at positions 356 to 774 of the family's 1533-position model. The record is from RNAcentral. Lineage: Bacteria; Pseudomonadati; Pseudomonadota; Gammaproteobacteria; Pseudomonadales; Pseudomonadaceae.